UGGUCAAGUUAUUAAGGGUGCAGGGUGGAUGCCUUGGCACUAGGAGCCGAUGAAGGACGUGAUAAGCUGCGAUAAGCUUCGGGGAGUUGCACGUAAACUUUGAUCCGAAGAUUUCCGAAUGAGGAAACUCACUUAGAGUAAUGUCUAAGUAUCAUUAAGUGAAUACAUAGCUUAAUGAGGGGAACUCAGGGAACUGAAACAUCUAAGUACCUGAAGGAAGAGAAAGAAAUUCGAUUCCGUAAGUAGCGGCGAGCGAACGCGGAUUAGCCCAAACCAAUAAAGUUUUCUUUAUUGGGGUUGCGGACAUAUCAUAACGAAGAGGUAUCGUAAUUGAAGAGGUUUGGAAAGACCCACCACAGAAGGUAAUAGUCCUGUAUGUUAAACGAGAAGACUUCAGAUAUGAUCCAGAGUACCACGGGACACGUGAAACCCUGUGGGAAGCAGGAGGGACCACCCUCCAAGGCUAAAUACUACCUAGUGACCGAUAGCGUAUAGUACCGUGAGGGAAAGGUGAAAAGAACCCCGGGAGGGGAGUGAAAUAGAACCUGAAACCCUGCACUUACAAGCUGUGGAAGCACAUUUCUUGUGUGACCGCGUACUUUUUGUAGAACGGGCCAACGAGUUACGUUAAGUAGCAAGGUUAAGCACUUAAGGUGCGGAGCCGUAGCGAAAGCGAGUUUUAACUGAGCGUUCAGUUACUUGACGUAGACCCGAAACCGGGCGACCUACCCAUGAGCAGGAUGAAGCGAAAGUAAAAUUUCGUGGAGGUCCGAACCCACGAGCGUUGAAAAGCUCGGGGAUGACUUGUGGGUAGCGGUGAAAUUCCAAUCGAGCCCGGAGAUAGCUGGUUCUCCCCGAAAUAGCUUUAGGGCUAGCCUCAAGGUGAGAGAUACGGAGGUAGAGCACUGAAUGUCCUAGGGGGUAUUGCACCUACCGAAGACUAUCAAACUCCGAAUGCCGUCAUCUUAUACUUGGGAGUCAGACUGUGGGUGAUAAGAUUCAUAGUCGAAAGGGCAACAGCCCAGAUCGUCAGCUAAGGUCCCUAAAUGUAAGUUAAGUGGUAAAGGAUGUGGGAUUGCACAGACAACCAGGAUGUUGGCUUAGAAGCAGCCACUCAUUCAAAGAGUGCGUAAUAGCUCACUGGUCGAGUGAUCCUGCGCCGAAGAUUUCCGGGGCUAAAACUUACUACCGAAGCUACGGCAUCAGUAAUGAUGGGUAGGGGAGCUUCCCAUACGGGUUGAAGCAUGACCGUAAGUACAUGUGGACAGUAUGGGAGUGAGAAUGUUGGCAUGAGUAGCGAGAUGUGGGUGAGAAUCCCACAGGCCGUAAACCCAAGGUUUCCAGGGGAAGGUUCGUCCGCCCUGGGUUAGUCGGGACCUAAGCUGAGGCCGAAAGGCGUAGGUGAUGGACAACAGGUUGAUAUUCCUGUACUACCGAUAACCGUUUGAGAGAAGGGAUGACACAGUAGGAUAAGCUAAGCACACUGUUGGUUAUGUGUGCCCAAGCAUUGAGGCAGUCAAAGUAGGCAAAUCCGCUUUGAUAAUGCUGGGAUGUGAUGGGGAGCGAAAUUUAGUAGCGAAGUAGCUGAUUUCACACUGUCAAGAAAAGUCUCUAUCGAGGUUAAAGGUACCCGUACCGCAAACCGACACAGGUGGGUGAGGAGAGUAUCCUAAGGCCAGCGAGAGAACUGUUGUUAAGGAACUCGGCAAAAUGACCCCGUAACUUAGGGAUAAGGGGUGCCACCAUCAGGUGGCCGCAGAGAAUAGGCCCAAGCGACUGUUUACCAAAAACAUAGGUUUCUGCUAAGUCGCAAGACGAUGUAUAGGAGCUGACGCCUGCCCGGUGCUGGAAGGUUAAGGGGAUCUGUUAGAGCAAUCGAAGCAGUGAACUUAAGCCCCAGUAAACGGCGGCCGUAACUAUAACGGUCCUAAGGUAGCGAAAUUCCUUGUCGGGUAAGUUCCGACCCGCACGAAAGGCGUAACGAUUUGGGCACUGUCUCAACAACAGACUCGGUGAAAUUGUAAUUCCGGUGAAGAUGCCGGAUACCUGCGACAGGACGGAAAGACCCCAUGGAGCUUUACUGUAGCUUGACAUUGGGUUUUGGUACUACAUGUACAGGAUAGGUGGGAGGCUUUGAAACCAGGACGCCAGUUUUGGCGGAGCCAUCCUUGGGAUACCACCCUUGUAGUACUGGGACUCUAACCAUAGGCCAUGAAUCUGGUCUUGGGACACUGUCAGGUGGGCAGUUUGACUGGGGCGGUCGCCUCCCAAAAGGUAACGGAGGCGCUCAAAGGUUCUCUCAGUACGGUCGGAAAUCGUACGUAGAGUGUAAAGGCAAAAGAGAGCUUGAUUGCAAGACAUACAGGUCGAGCAAGGAUGAAAAUCGGACUUAGUGAUCCGGUGGUUCUGCGUGGAAGGGCCAUCGCUCAACGGAUAAAAGCUACCCUGGGGAUAACAGGCUUAUCUCCCCCAAGAGUCCACAUCGACGGGGAGGUUUGGCACCUCGAUGUCGGCUCAUCACAUCCUGGGGCUGUAGUAGGUCCCAAGGGUUGGGCUGUUCGCCCAUUAAAGUGGUACGCGAGCUGGGUUCAGAACGUCGUGAGACAGUUCGGUCCCUAUCCGUCGCAGGCGUAGGAAAUUUGAGAAGACCUGUCCUUAGUACGAGAGGACCGGGAUGGACGUACCUCUGGUGUACCAGUUGUCCUGCCAAGGGCAUGGCUGGGUAGCUAUGUACGGAAUGGAUAAGCGCUGAAAGCAUCUAAGCGCGAAGCCAACUUCAAGAUAAGAUUUCCCACCGCAAGGGUAAGACCCCAGAAAGACUAUCUGGUUGAUAGGUCGAAGGUGUAAGUGCAGCAAUGUAUUUAGCUUAUCGAUACUAAUAGGUCGAGGACUUGACCAAAUU
This 2902-nucleotide ribosomal RNA is filed under the name Clostridioides difficile. Its description in RNAcentral is "bacterial LSU rRNA". It matches the Rfam family "Bacterial large subunit ribosomal RNA". Lineage: Bacteria; Bacillati; Bacillota; Clostridia; Peptostreptococcales; Peptostreptococcaceae. The record is from RNAcentral.